UAAUACGGAGGGUGCGAGCGUUAAUCGGAAUUACUGGGCGUAAAGCGCAUGCAGGUGGUUUGUUAAGUCAGAUGUGAAAGCCCGGGGCUCAACCUCGGAAUAGCAUUUGAAACUGGCAGACUAGAGUACUGUAGAGGGGGGUAGAAUUUCAGGUGUAGCGGUGAAAUGCGUAGAGAUCUGAAGGAAUACCGGUGGCGAAGGCGGCCCCCUGGACAGAUACUGACACUCAGAUGCGAAAGCGUGGGGAGCAAACAGGAUUAGAUACCCUGGUAGUCCACGCCGUAAACGAUGUCUACUUGGAGGUUGUGGCCUUGAGCCGUGGCUUUCGGAGCUAACGCGUUAAGUAGACCGCCUGGGGAGUACGGUCGCAAGAUUA
Molecule: ribosomal RNA, 376 nt
Filed under: uncultured bacterium
Lineage: Bacteria
Description: bacterial SSU rRNA
Rfam family: Bacterial small subunit ribosomal RNA
Source: RNAcentral